This 438-nucleotide ribosomal RNA is filed under the name Triticum aestivum (bread wheat). RNAcentral describes it as "partial small subunit ribosomal RNA". The record is from RNAcentral. Lineage: Eukaryota; Viridiplantae; Streptophyta; Magnoliopsida; Poales; Poaceae.
AUGGCGCAGAGGGCGGCGGGCGCGCUUCUGCGGCGGUCCCUCGGGCUCGCGCCGCCGACGGUCCCCAGGGCCCUGAGCACCAGCGCCGCGGCGCCGGCCGCGGCCGAGGGAGAGGCGGCGGCCAAGGCGAAGAGGAGCAAGAAGAAGAACCUGUUCGACGUGGUGCAGUUCCUGCCGGACUGGGGCGUCGGCUACAAGGUCGCCAAGACCACCUGGCGCGACGUCUCCUACCAGAUCACCAAGAUCAACCUCUACAAGGAUGGCCGCCACGGGAAGGCGUGGGGGAUUCGGCACAAGGCCGGUGUGCAAGUUGCUGACGCUCCAAUAAAACUCAGCGGAGUGAACAAGCGUGGGUGGAAGUACAUAAAGACGUCAGAGAAGACGGUGCAGGAUAUCCCCGCAGCAGAGACGCCAGCUGCUGCCACCUCCACUGCUUAA